ACCACCCAUAGCCCCCUACUCCUACCCCCUUAUACUGAUCGGAGACGUCACGAGAAACGUCUUGCGGCAGUCUGGUGCGUGAGAUCGAAGAUGAAGGUUCAGUCCGUUACAUUGGCUUGAGAUUUUGAGAACUAAUAUUUCUAUCAUGUUCAGUAGUUUCCCGCCCCGCUAUUAAUUAUUUUGAAACAUAACUCAUUCUUUCCAAUUCGAUUGCUUGCUGAGUUUCUUCUGAGUCGAAUGAAAACACUCGUAUCCGUUGUUAUUGUAUGAGUUUUCGGUAGCCGUUCUUCCGUGACGUUUACAUGAUAUUUGGUUUGAAGAUAUCGUUUUGGAAGUCAGUUUGUUCAUCAGUCAUUUUGUUUUAAUUUGUCAAUAUUUAUUGGUCUCUCCAACAACAUUCGACAAGGCGAUGCACGAAGACGGAAAACGGUUACUCUGCACCAGAGCUGUUCCAUAACUUCACAGAUCAUCCCUUCGUCAUGAUUUCCCAGCUUCACAUCUUGUCUGUUAUGAGCUUACGCGUCGUUGAAGUCAAUAUUUUUUGGUCCCUCCAUCAUCGUUGAGGCGGUGCACAAAGACGAGACAUUUUCGCUUUGCAAGAGAUGUUCCUGAAUUACGGGUCUUCGCUUCAUCACGGUUCUUCGCUUCACCACGGGUCUUCAUUUCAUCACGGUUCUUCGCUUCAUCACGGUUCUUCGCUUCAUCACGGGUCUUCGCUUCAUCACGGUAAAAUCUCUCCAACUCCUUCCUGCUAUCAGAAUUAAUUGCGGACGACUCGACCAUUUGUCUAUAUUCUCUCAAUUUUCAAAGUGAGCUAUUGCAGUAUUCUUCCUCUCCGCUGACAGUGGCCGUCACCAUUUAGGCGGUAUUUAGUAAUCUGUCAAACUUCACAUACUAAAACCACAAUUUCGAAAUAGGCUGUUGGAGCUCCUGGAGAAAUAAUCGCGAUUUCAUAGAUUUUUUAACCUUAAAAAAGGCUCAUGUAGGCAAUUGAAGUCUCCCCUGCCCCGUUUCCUUUUGGAUUCAUCUGAAUUUUUAGUAUGUUAUUCACCGAGGAACGACUUUCCUGAAAUUUCCAUGACCGAGAAGAUUUUUUGC
Long non-coding RNA from Bemisia tabaci, 1098 nucleotides. RefSeq lists it as uncharacterized. NCBI's taxonomy places the organism in Eukaryota, Metazoa, Arthropoda, Insecta, Hemiptera, Aleyrodidae. The record is from RefSeq and is a predicted model, not a curated record.